CACACCGCCCGUCACAUCAUGAAAGCUGGUGGUACUAGAAGUCCCCAGGCUAACCUUCACGGGAAGCAGGGGCCCAAGGUAUGACUGGUGAUUGGGGUG
RNAcentral lists this ribosomal RNA (99 nucleotides) under uncultured bacterium. Its description in RNAcentral is "partial 16S ribosomal RNA". It matches the Rfam family "Bacterial small subunit ribosomal RNA", at positions 1386 to 1482 of the family's 1533-position model. The record is from RNAcentral.